RNAcentral lists this ribosomal RNA (1552 nucleotides) under Scierus sp. VS-2014. Its description in RNAcentral is "SSU rRNA". It matches the Rfam family "Eukaryotic small subunit ribosomal RNA", at positions 119 to 1574 of the family's 1831-position model. The record is from RNAcentral. Lineage: Eukaryota; Metazoa; Arthropoda; Insecta; Coleoptera; Curculionidae.
CUUAGAUCGUACCCACACUUACUUGGAUAACUGUGGUAAUUCUAGAGCUAAUACAUGCAAACAGAGCUCCGACCGGAGACGGAAGGAGUGCUUUUAUUAGAUCAAAACCAAUCGGUGGCGGGUUUGCGCUCGUCAUCGUACAACUUGGUGACUCUGAAUAACUUUACGCUGAUCGCACGGUCUUCGCACCGGCGACGCAUCUUUCAAAUGUCUGCCUUAUCAACUGUCGAUGGUAGGUUCUGCGCCUACCAUGGUUGUAACGGGUAACGGGGAAUCAGGGUUCGAUUCCGGAGAGGGAGCCUGAGAAACGGCUACCACAUCCAAGGAAGGCAGCAGGCGCGCAAAUUACCCACUCCCGGCACGGGGAGGUAGUGACGAAAAAUAACGAUACGGGACUCAUCCGAGGCCCCGUAAUCGGAAUGAGUACACUCUAAACCCUUUAACGAGGAUCAAUUGGAGGGCAAGUCUGGUGCCAGCAGCCGCGGUAAUUCCAGCUCCAAUAGCGUAUAUUAAAGUUGUUGCGGUUAAAAAGCUCGUAGUCGAAUUUGUGUCUCGUGCCGCCGGUUCAUCGUCCGCGGUGUUAACUGGCGAGUCGCGAGACGUCCUGCCGGUGGGCUUAGCUCGCAAGGGCGACGGCCCAACUCAAUCCUGCCGCGGUGCUCUUCAUCGAGUGUCGAGGUGGGCCGGCACGUUUACUUUGAACAAAUUAGAGUGCUUAAAGCAGGCUAAAACUUCGCCUGAAUACUGUGUGCAUGGAAUAAUGGAAUAGGACCUCGGUUCUAUUUUGUUGGUUUUCGGAACCCCGAGGUAAUGAUUAAUAGGAACGGAUGGGGGCAUUCGUAUUGCGACGUUAGAGGUGAAAUUCUUGGAUCGUCGCAAGACGGACAGAAGCGAAAGCAUUUGCCAAAAACGCUUUCAUUGAUCAAGAACGAAAGUUAGAGGUUCGAAGGCGAUCAGAUACCGCCCUAGUUCUAACCUUAAACGAUGCCAGCUAGCGAUCCGUCGACGUUCCUCCGAUGACUCGACGGGCAGCUUCCGGGAAACCAAAGCUUUUGGGUUCCGGGGGAAGUAUGGUUGCAAAGCUGAAACUUAAAGGAAUUGACGGAAGGGCACCACCAGGAGUGGAGCCUGCGGCUUAAUUUGACUCAACACGGGAAACCUCACCAGGCCCGGACACCGGAAGGAUUGACAGAUUGAGAGCUCUUUCUUGAUUCGGUGGGUGGUGGUGCAUGGCCGUUCUUAGUUGGUGGAGCGAUUUGUCUGGUUAAUUCCGAUAACGAACGAGACUCUAGCCUGCUAACUAGGCGUACGACAUCCUAAAGGCCCGCCAUCAUCGGGGUUUCGGCUCCGUUGUCGUGCGCGGUUUUUACUGUCUACGUACAUACAAUUCUUCUUAGAGGGACAGGCGGCUUCUAGCCGCACGAGAUUGAGCAAUAACAGGUCUGUGAUGCCCUUAGAUGUUCUGGGCCGCACGCGCGCUACACUGAAGGAAUCAGCGUGUCCUCCCUGGCCGAGUGGCCCGGGUAACCCGCUGAACCUCCUUCGUGCUAGG